Rattus norvegicus (Norway rat) is the source of this 3172-nucleotide non-coding RNA. The record is from RefSeq and is a predicted model, not a curated record. Lineage: Eukaryota; Metazoa; Chordata; Mammalia; Rodentia; Muridae.
UCCAGUUGAACCAGCACCAUUUUCUGAAAAUGCUCUUUUUUCCAUUGAAUGGUUUUGGCUCCUUUGUCAAAAGUAAAGUGCCCAUAGGUGUGUGGGUUCAUUUCUGGGAGCUGCCUUAUGUAUAAUACCCAAGAGCUAGAAGAAUCCGUAAUGGCAUUCAUCAGAGGAAUGAAUACAGAAAAUGUAGUACAUCUAAACAAUUGUGUACUACUCAACUCUUAAAACCAAUUAUCUCAAGAAAGCCAAAGACAAAUGGGAUGAUCUAGAAAAUAUCAUAAUGAUUGAGGUUACCCAAUCACAAAAUGGUAUGAAAUCACACAUUUUAUGAAAUCACCAAAAGUGGAUAUUGGCACAAAAGCUAAAAUUACCAAAGAUGCAGUUCACAGACAACUGGAAGCUCAAUAAAAUGAUACACAAAAUGUGCAUGCUUUAAUCCUUUUCAAAAGGUGGACACAAUAAUAUCUAUGAAUUUCGAGCAGAGACUGAGGAAAUCCCAUUCAGAGCAGGCCGUACAUGUGGCAAAAAUAUAUACACAUCAGUCACCAAAACUAGAUAAGAUUGAUGGAGCUAAGAAGUGCAUUGUGCCAGGGACUGUAUAGAGAUCUUUCCUGUGAGACACAGCUAGAGCAUAUCAAAUAAAGAAGUGAAUUCUAGAGGCAAAUCAGUGAAUUGAAAACGGACAGUAGGGGAGUUAUAGAAAAAGAGGAGUGGGGCCGGUUAGGGAUCAUAUGUGCAGGUAAUAGGGAAAGGAAAUAACAUUUCAAAUGUAAAUAUAGAAAUACCCAAUUAAAACAGGAAUAAAAUUUGCUAAAAAAAUAAAAAGAAAUAAAGAAAUUUAAGAAAAGAACACUGCGAAGUAUUCACAGCUAUUGACUCAGAAAUGUAAAAGUCAUUUUCAUGGAAUGAUAGUCAGAGUAAUACUAAUGGAAAGACUGAGAUGAUGAAGACUCAACUAGAAACACUUCUCUCUCCCAGAUAUCAGUAUCAGACAAAAACUGCACUAUAGGCAUCCAGAGCAUGGUGGAAUUUACUCUGAGGCGAGGACUCAAUACUUGUCUUUCCAUUCUUCCUUAGGACCAUUUUCUUCUUGACAAAAAGAAUAAGGCUAUGAGAUCUCAGCAAAACAACUGUGCCCUGCCCAUCACUUGGCUUUGGAAUAAAAAAAAAUAAUGAUAUAAACUCUUUGACUUCCAGGAAUGAUAUGAACAGGAACUGUAAGAGCAGGAAGUCCAGAUGCUUCUGAGAGGACCCCAGCUCCUAAUUCCCAUUUGUAGACGGCUCAGAUCAAGACAAUCUCUUCAUGAAACAACUCAACACCUACUAAGGACUCAGAGAGCUUUCCCAAGGACCUUUUUUGUACCAAGACAGAAGGACCAAAACCAUCAGCUUUAAAGAAAACUGUGCCCUUCCCAACACUUGGCUUUGGAAAAAAGACAUGAAUGAUAUAAAUUCUCCGACUUCCAGGAACCAUAACUAGCAGGGAAGUCCAGAUGCAUCUGAGAGGCUCCCAUCUCCUGAUUACCAUAUUUGAAAGGCUCCAAUCAAUACUAUCUUUUCAGCAAACCUUCUCAACCACUACCCAGAAAUGACUGAGAUUUCCCAUGGACCACAUAUUUCUUUUUUUUUAUAACAAAGCAGAAGGCCAGCUUCCUUCUUCCCAUCUUUGAUCACUUCAUCCUCUUUUUUCUCCUUCCCAAAGGCUGUUUAUGCUGAAUUAGAGGCCAAAUAGUAAACCCUAGAGGUACUGAAGGACUACUGGAGAGGCAACUUCUGUCAGGACAACACUUGUUACAUCACAGAAGAAACUAGGGAUCUCCAGGAUACAACAGAUUUUUUUAGAUAGGCCUAAUGGUGAUGUCACUGAGAAUUGCCAUGGCCUACCUGCUAAAGUGUUUUCCUUUCAAUGACCAGAUUCGAGGGUGCCCUUGCAAGGGCCAGACGUGAAGGUUUUCGAGGUUUUACCAUGGUUGUUACUUCAGGACAAACAUAAAAUUCAGGAGGAUGUGCAGGGAGAUGAAUGGCUUGAUGUCCAGGGAAACUUCAACUUCAAUAGGUUCAUAAGAACAAGAGGGAGGUGUUUGGAAUUGCCAUUUGUGGAUUCUACAUUCUUGACCUAGGUGUACAUAAUCCAUGUGAAAAUUCCACCUAACCUCAUAGCUGUAGGAGCCACCAAAUGUAUAGUUGGAACCAGAUGUACAUCUUUCCUGAGAGACACAGCUUGAGCAAGUCAAAUACAGAAGAGAAUGCUACUGGCAAACCAGUGAACCAAAAAUGGAUCUCUUGUUGGUAGUUUUUGAGAAACAAUUACAAGAGCUUAAGGGGAUUUCAAUUCCAUAAGAACAACAAUGCCAGUGAACCAGAGCUUUCUGGUACUAAACCAAUAUUCAAAGACUGUACUUGGACAGACCUAUGUGUCCAACUGCAUAUGUAGCAGUGGAUGGCCUUGUUGGGAACCAAUGGAAGGAGAAGUUCCUGGUCCAACCUAGGUUUAACUCUCAGUUCAAGGUAAUAUCAAGGUUCACUAAGGUAGGUUAUAGAAGAAUGUUAGGGGGACUAGUUACGGGUCUUAUGGACAUGAAACUGGGAAAGAAAAUCAAAUUUGAAAUUCAAAUAUAGAAAUAUCCAAAUAAAAAAAGCAAUAAAAUUUGCUAAAAAUUAAAAAAAAAUGAAAUAAAUUAAAGAAAAGACAUCUGUCAGCUAAUUACACAUAUUGACUCAGAAAUCUAAAGGUUAACUAUCAGGAAAUGGUAAUCAGAGUAAUACUAGUGGAAAGACUGAGAUGAUGAAGUCUCAACUAGAAGCUCUUCUCUCCCAAAUAUCAGUGUCAGACACAAACUGCACUAUAGGUAUCCAAAGCAUGGAGGCGUUUACACUGAGCUGAGGAGACAAUACUUGUCUAUCCUUUGUUUCUUCGGACCUUUUUCUUCAGGGCAAAAAGAGUGAAAGCCAUGAGCUCUCACUAGAACAACUGUGCCCUUCCCAACAACUGACUUUUGGAAUGAAGAAAAUGAUUAUAUAAACUCUCUGAAUUCCAGAAACCAUAUCAAGCAGGGAAGUCCAGAUGAUAAUGAGAGAAUCCCAGCUCUGGAUUCCCAUGUGUGUAAGGCUCAGAUCAAGGCUAUCUCUUCAGAUACAACACUCAACGCCUACCCAAGACUCACUGAGCUUUCCC